RNAcentral lists this ribosomal RNA (252 nucleotides) under bacterium. RNAcentral describes it as "partial 16S ribosomal RNA". It matches the Rfam family "Bacterial small subunit ribosomal RNA", at positions 524 to 776 of the family's 1533-position model. The record is from RNAcentral. RNAcentral also lists the same sequence under 1 other name.
UACAUAGGGGGCAAGCGUUAUCCGGAAUUAUUGGGCGUAAAGGGUGCGUAGGCGGCCAUUUAAGUCUUUGGUAUAAGUGCAGUGCUUAACGCUGUGAUGCUAAGGAAACUGAAUGGCUUGAGUGAGAUAGAGGCAAGUGGAAUUCCAUGUGUAGCGGUAAAAUGCGUAAAUAUAUGGAGGAACACCAGUGGCGAAGGCGGCUUGCUGGGUCUACACUGACGCUGAGGCACGAAAGCGUGGGGAGCAAACAGG